AACAGGUACCGAGGGCACCUGCAGCUCUUCAAGGUUGUUAACUGAUAACAGAGGAAGCAGGACGCUUGCUAGAGGGUCUCUUUCGGUCUUGGAGGAGUGAGUGCCUGGAGCAGUCUCUGCCUGACUCCUUGGUAAGUCAUGGCCAAAAGUCUUUAAGGUGCCAAAGGUAAGGGUUCGAAUUAAUUCUUUUUCUGAGUUUUCAAAAGAACUAGGCUUAACUUUGUGUGCUGU
Molecule: long non-coding RNA, 231 nt
Filed under: Ficedula albicollis (Collared flycatcher)
Lineage: Eukaryota; Metazoa; Chordata; Aves; Passeriformes; Muscicapidae
Description: lncRNA (ENSFALG00000025750.1)
Source: RNAcentral